RNAcentral lists this long non-coding RNA (1111 nucleotides) under Nicotiana benthamiana. RNAcentral describes it as "long non-coding RNA (NBEN_LNC016155)". The record is from RNAcentral. Lineage: Eukaryota; Viridiplantae; Streptophyta; Magnoliopsida; Solanales; Solanaceae.
AGAGCAAAAUUGUUAGUGACAAUAUAAAACAAUCACGAAUUAAAAAUUGCAGAAAACCAUAAUACCAAAACUCCAUACUAAACUAUAUACUAUUAGCUAAUUACAUCUACAAAUAUUCUCAAUAAUAAUAUUUGGGAACAUAUCAUUAAGAAAGUAAAGUGAAACCACUCAAACAUAAAAAGUUUGUACAUUAAAAAGAAAAAAAACUAUAUUGCUUCCUCAUCCGCCAGUGUAGCAUCACUUGCCUAGGGAACAUCAAUCUAGAAUCAAUUUCCAUCUUCUUGUACCUGUGUAAAAAGAACAAAGUUACGGUUAUAAUAUUUACUUUUUGAGAACAUGAUUUAAGCAAAAUAUAUCUUCAAAAUUUGACCAUAAAUCUAACAUUAAUUAGUAAGGAAAAUAAUAGAAUAAAAAGUAAGUAUUGCGGAGUCAUUAUGCACCUAUAACUCAAAAUAUUAUAUAUUCUCUAGAUUGCAAAUUGUAAUUUUCUCAUGCUAAAAGUUUUUCUGAUUUUGAUGUCAUACUACCCAUAAAUUUCACUAGAAUUAUAAGGCAUAUAUAUAUAUAUGGGCGGACCUAGAGUAUAGAAUAUGGGUUUCGGGGAACGCAGUAGUUUUUGCAUAGAUCGUGUAUUUAUACUAAAAAAUUCAUUAAAUAUUUAUAAAUAUCUAACUGUGAACUCAAAUAUUAUUGCAUAUUAAUUUAAAAUUACAAUAGAAACCAAUAAGUUUCAAAUUAUGGAUUGCCUCCAAUAUAUAUAGUAUCCAACCGUCACUUUACAAAAUUAAUCAAAAAUACAUCACAACGACACAACAUAAAGCACACUAGAUUGAUACAUAUAGCAUAAGAAUUAGCAAAAGUUUUGAACAUAAUCUAACGAAGGAGGCUAGAUGCAGAAAAUAAAUACACAAAAAACUAGAAAAACAAAAAGAUCUAUUAUAGAAAGAGAGAUAAGUUUAUUUACUUGUUAUAGAGGCCUGCAAAGGUGAUGGCUGGAUGGCCUUAGGCUGGAGAAAUAUAAAGCAAUUGAUAGAAAAGAAGAAAAAGUCUAGCGUAGGGAUUUGUUGGUUCUUUCGGAGUGUAGCGUAUUUGUAAUAAAGUUGGAUUUAAG